This is a long non-coding RNA of Hyla sarda, 1386 nucleotides long. RefSeq lists it as uncharacterized. The transcript is spliced from 3 exons. The record is from RefSeq and is a predicted model, not a curated record. NCBI's taxonomy places the organism in Eukaryota, Metazoa, Chordata, Amphibia, Anura, Hylidae.
AGAAAUCAUGGCUUAAAAAAAAAAAAAAAAAAACACCCUAUCCAUCCAGAACGUAAUCCUGUCCAGUUGCAGCAUCAUCUUUGUCCAAGAUGAAGCACAGGCAUGAACAAAGUCUGGCCAGUGACUAUGCAGCAACCACUUUGGUAAACAUAUGAAAUGCUAAAGAAAUUCUGAAUGGAAGUGGACUGGAUGUGAAGCAGACUACCUUCUAUCCAUAAUGCGAUGCGCAGGAAUAUGAAAUAGGGAUAUUCAGGUUGAGUUUUAAUGAGCAGGAGGAGAAGAAGAAGGAAAAUAUAGCCAGUAGACAAUUUUUUUACUGUCAGGAGUGGAACUGAUGCAGAGAAAAACUAUAAUGGAAAGACUUGCAGCUUUUUCUGUUUUGUGGACUCACUAACCUGAGAGGUUAUAAGUGACUUGUAAGAGCCUCGUGGCAGUCGCUCGGCCUGCCAUUACCAUACAGGAUCCAUACUCCUCAGAGAUCAGGCUCCUCUGGGAAAGCCCUUCAUUAAUAUUCAGCAUUAAAUCAGCUUAAUUGCUGCACUAAUUUCCUGCAACAAAGGCAAUUCUCCUCAGGCUACCUGUGAGCUGGCGCAUAGUCUGAACUGUGUCAUUUACUGUCCGUGCUGAAGAUGGCAGCACCUGAGGAUGUGUACAGCAGCAGCAGCAGGGUCACUUAGAGGGAGCUAAAAAUGAUAUGUCAGAUGAAUGCCAUGUCCCCCUCCCCCAUUUCCUCUUCCAGUGGUUCCCUCAUCCUUUUCCAGAUGCCAGCGCUGGCUGCAGGGUCCUCUGGUGUUAUGGAGGAGGAGGGGGACUGCUGCUGGAGUAUAUUUUGUUAUUCAUGCUUAUACCUCUCUCAUCUCGCAUUCUGCACCCGCCUGAACAUGAAGCUGUGUAACCACAGCAACCAGGCAGCUGGGACCAGGAGAUGGGGGAUAGCAGAGGGGGUGGAAGAAAGAUGGCAUUCACCCCUUCACUGCCAACAAUAUAGGGGGAAGCUUCAGCCUCUGGGAAAGGAGGGGUUAAUGCAGAGGAAAGGGAGGGAUGCUGGUAUAACCUAGGCUCCCGGGAAUAUGAGGAGGAAGUGGUUAACAUGAGGUGACGUCAGAGGAGAAUAUUAUAAAGAAAAAGGGGUUUUACAAGGAAACGGAGCUAUUUUUAAUGAAAAAUUGCACAGCACAUCUGCGCAUUGUGUGUCAUUCGCAACAAAGGUCAUUUCUGGAUAAUAAAAAACAUGUGUCAGCUCAUAAUGUGGGGAUGCCAUCAUCCAGAUUAUUACCUCAGCCACACCUGGAUUACCGGAUUUAUUCCCACUCCCAUGAGGUGCCCACGGCUUGUAUGGAGGUGUGACAUGGACAAUGUACUUGUGUCAUGUUGAAAGGGAUCACC